Molecule: non-coding RNA, 18 nt
Filed under: Arabidopsis thaliana (thale cress)
Lineage: Eukaryota; Viridiplantae; Streptophyta; Magnoliopsida; Brassicales; Brassicaceae
Source: RNAcentral
AAAUCAAAGUUUUUGGGU